Molecule: ribosomal RNA, 158 nt
Filed under: Lodderomyces orthopsilosis
Lineage: Eukaryota; Fungi; Ascomycota; Pichiomycetes; Serinales; Debaryomycetaceae
Description: Candida orthopsilosis partial 28S ribosomal RNA
Rfam family: Eukaryotic large subunit ribosomal RNA
Source: RNAcentral
UCGACCUCAAAUCAGGUAGGACUACCCGCUGAACUUAAGCAUAUCAAUAAGCGGAGGAAAAAAAACCAACAGGGAUUGCCUUAAUAGCGGCGAGUGAAGCGGCAAAAGCUCAAAUUUGAAAUCUGGCACUUUCAGUGUCCGAGUUGUAAUUUGAAAAA